UGGGGAAUAUUGCACAAUGGGGGAAACCCUGAUGCAGCGACGCCGCGUGAGCGAAGAAGGUUUUCGAAUCGUAAAGCUCUGUCCUAUGAGAAGAUAAUGACGGUAUCAUAGGAGGAAGCCCCGGCUAAAUACGUGCCAGCAGCCGCGGUAAUACGUAUGGGGCGAGCGUUGUCCGGAAUUAUUGGGCGUAAAGGGUACGUAGGCGGUCUAUUAAGUCAGGUGUGAAAGCGUGAGGCUUAACCUCAUUAAGCACUUGAAACUGAUAGACUUGAGUGAAGGAGAGGAAAGUGGAAUUCCUAGUGUAGCGGUGAAAUGCGUAGAUAUUAGGAGGAAUACCGGUGGCGAAGGCGACUUUCUGGACUUUUACUGACGCUCAGGAACGAAAGCGUGGGUAGCAAACAGG
This 403-nucleotide ribosomal RNA is filed under the name Verrucomicrobiota bacterium. RNAcentral's name for it is "Verrucomicrobia bacterium partial 16S ribosomal RNA". It matches the Rfam family "Bacterial small subunit ribosomal RNA", at positions 355 to 776 of the family's 1533-position model. The record is from RNAcentral. Lineage: Bacteria; Pseudomonadati; Verrucomicrobiota.